CGGGAUAGAUCAGCUGGU
This 18-nucleotide transfer RNA is filed under the name Shepherdia argentea. RNAcentral's name for it is "partial transfer RNA-Phe". The record is from RNAcentral. Lineage: Eukaryota; Viridiplantae; Streptophyta; Magnoliopsida; Rosales; Elaeagnaceae.